CAGAGCGUAGCUCAGCUUGGCAGAGCGCCCGGUCCGGAACCGGGAGGCCGUAGGUUCAAGUCCUACCGUUCUGA
RNAcentral lists this transfer RNA (74 nucleotides) under Algisphaera agarilytica. It matches the Rfam family "tRNA". Rfam says of the family: Transfer RNA (tRNA) molecules are approximately 80 nucleotides in length. Their secondary structure includes four short double-helical elements and three loops (D, anti-codon, and T loops). Lineage: Bacteria; Pseudomonadati; Planctomycetota; Phycisphaerae; Phycisphaerales; Phycisphaeraceae. The record is from Rfam by way of RNAcentral.